GGAGCACAGAGAGGUACUGCAGGAUUGAAGAAGGACAGACCAGCCUGGGGAGGACAAGAGGAUACCUUCAAAUACAGAUGAAAAUCACAGCUCCUGCUAAAAUCAUGGGUGGAAAGAUAUCUGUGUAUAGGGUACUGCUCUAGGACAG
Molecule: long non-coding RNA, 148 nt
Filed under: Zonotrichia albicollis (white-throated sparrow)
Lineage: Eukaryota; Metazoa; Chordata; Aves; Passeriformes; Passerellidae
Description: lncRNA (ENSZALG00000010158.1)
Source: RNAcentral